Molecule: ribosomal RNA, 732 nt
Filed under: Lelliottia amnigena
Lineage: Bacteria; Pseudomonadati; Pseudomonadota; Gammaproteobacteria; Enterobacterales; Enterobacteriaceae
Description: bacterial SSU rRNA
Rfam family: Bacterial small subunit ribosomal RNA
Source: RNAcentral
GGCUCAGAUUGAACGCUGGCGGCAGGCCUAACACAUGCAAGUCGAGCGGUAGCACAGGGAGCUUGCUCCUGGGUGACGAGCGGCGGACGGGUGAGUAAUGUCUGGGAAACUGCCUGAUGGAGGGGGAUAACUACUGGAAACGGUAGCUAAUACCGCAUAACGUCGCAAGACCAAAGAGGGGGACCUUCGGGCCUCUUGCCAUCAGAUGUGCCCAGAUGGGAUUAGCUAGUAGGUGGGGUAAUGGCUCACCUAGGCGACGAUCCCUAGCUGGUCUGAGAGGAUGACCAGCCACACUGGAACUGAGACACGGUCCAGACUCCUACGGGAGGCAGCAGUGGGGAAUAUUGCACAAUGGGCGCAAGCCUGAUGCAGCCAUGCCGCGUGUAUGAAGAAGGCCUUCGGGUUGUAAAGUACUUUCAGCGAGGAGGAAGGCAUUGUGGUUAAUAACCACAGUGAUUGACGUUACUCGCAGAAGAAGCACCGGCUAACUCCGUGCCAGCAGCCGCGGUAAUACGGAGGGUGCAAGCGUUAAUCGGAAUUACUGGGCGUAAAGCGCACGCAGGCGGUCUGUCAAGUCGGAUGUGAAAUCCCCGGGCUCAACCUGGGAACUGCAUUCGAAACUGGCAGGCUAGAGUCUUGUAGAGGGGGGUAGAAUUCCAGGUGUAGCGGUGAAAUGCGUAGAGAUCUGGAGGAAUACCGGUGGCGAAGGCGGCCCCCUGGACAAAGACUACG